AAGUCGUAACAAGGUCUCCGUUGGUGAACCAGCGGAGGGAUCAUUACAGAGUCGUAAAACACUCCCAAACCAUUGUGAACUUACCAUUUGUUGCCUCGGCGGUCCCCUGCCGGAUAGCGAGCUACCCUGUAGCGACCUACCCUGUAGCCCGCCGGUGGACAUCUAAACUCUUGUUAUUCUAUGGAUAUCUGAGCGUCUUAUUUAAUAAGUUAAAACUUUCAACAACGGAUCUCUUGGUUCUG
Molecule: unclassified non-coding RNA, 242 nt
Filed under: fungal sp.
Lineage: Eukaryota; Fungi
Description: partial internal transcribed spacer region
Rfam family: Eukaryotic small subunit ribosomal RNA (bases 1-46)
Source: RNAcentral